CCUACGGGGGGUUGCAGUGGGGAAUAUUGGACAAUGGGGGCAACCCUGAUCCAGCCAUGCCGCGUGUGUGAAGAAGGCCCUCGGGUUGUAAAGCACUUUCAGUGAGGAAGAACGCCUGGUGGUUAAUACCCAUCAGGAAAGACAUCACUCACAGAAGAAGCACCGGCUAACUCCGUGCCAGCAGCCGCGGUAAUACGGAGGGUGCGAGCGUUAAUCGGAAUUACUGGGCGUAAAGCGCGCGUAGGUGGCUUGAUAAGCCGGUUGUGAAAGCCCCGGGCUCAACCUGGGAACGGCAUCCGGAACUGUCAAGCUAGAGUGCAGGAGAGGAAGGUAGAAUUCCCGGUGUAGCGGUGAAAUGCGUAGAGAUCGGGAGGAAUACCAGUGGCGAAGGCGGCCUUCUGGACUGACACUGACACUGAGGUGCGAAAGCGUGGGUAGCAAACAGGAUUAGAUACCCCAGUAGUC
Molecule: ribosomal RNA, 465 nt
Filed under: Vreelandella stevensii
Lineage: Bacteria; Pseudomonadati; Pseudomonadota; Gammaproteobacteria; Oceanospirillales; Halomonadaceae
Description: partial 16S ribosomal RNA
Rfam family: Bacterial small subunit ribosomal RNA
Source: RNAcentral